Molecule: long non-coding RNA, 552 nt
Organism: Malaya genurostris
Lineage: Eukaryota; Metazoa; Arthropoda; Insecta; Diptera; Culicidae
Exons: 3
Source: RefSeq, a predicted model, not a curated record
UAACUACUGCCUUACCAAUACUUAUAUCUAUCAUAGUAAAUUCUUACACAUAUUUCGCUACAUUCUCUGGACAAAUGACAAAUCGUAAACAAUAAACAUUAUUCAUCUCGCUCAAUUAUGCUUCGGGUUUCCUGUGUGAAUUCGUUUUCCAGUACCGCUCUGGACUAAAUUGGUGGCUCUACUUCGGCUAUCGGAUCAGUAUUGCUCAAAGUGAAACAACGCGAAUGAGGUUAUCGCCUCCUGGAUGCACACAAAUUAUUCUCGCCAAAGGCCACUUAACCGGUAUUUGGAAUUCGUCUACGAUAACCGCCAACCGCCCGGGUUGGAUAUCGGUGUUUGGAUUGCAGAUCCUUGUUGCCCGUUGCAGCUCCUGUACUGAUAAUGGUCCAGCUUUCCUAUGGGAAUCUGAUUGGUAUCAAGUUCCGGAAGUGCAUUCAGGCUCGAUCCAAUUAAAACAUGAGCUGGUGUCAAACAGGAAAAAUCAUUUGGAUCCUCCGUCAUUGGCACUAAAGGGCGUGAAUUCAUACUAGCUUCAAUUUGAGUCAGCAAUGU